This is a long non-coding RNA of Uranotaenia lowii, 1393 nucleotides long. RefSeq lists it as uncharacterized. The record is from RefSeq and is a predicted model, not a curated record. NCBI's taxonomy places the organism in Eukaryota, Metazoa, Arthropoda, Insecta, Diptera, Culicidae. The transcript is spliced from 3 exons.
UAUUUUUUUUCGUGUAGUGAUUUUAACGCGCGCCAUUUUAGCGGAAAAAAACAUCUCUUAAACUUUCAUCAAAUCCGGUGUUUGCGCUCGCGAUUGAUUCUAAUCGGGACACGAAAUUGAUCUUUACUGAUCGGAGGCAUCCCAGAAGGUAAGGAAUGCGUUGGUGGGGCAUUGAAAUAUCUAACAUCCGACGAUUCUGUGGUGAGCCGGUACUGAACAAUCCUCUUGUAAGGGAUCUCUUCGAUGCCGAUCAAUCGGAUGAGUAUCGGUGGCAUAAUUGCAAUUUUCCCAGGGAACCCAACCCCAGCAGGAGCAGGAGCUGUUGGGACAUGGUGGUUUCCAGUCAGCCAUCGACGACGACAGCUAGAAUGGUAUCCGUUCAGCGAGUGACAUCACGAGCGAAGGAAUCGCAGGUUGAUUUUACACAUGGAGCCAGGCAAUAUACAAAGACGAUUUCGAUUCAGCAAAGUGAUCACUUAAAACGGGUUGGCGCUAUGCUCACUCCCACAUCAACUGGAAAUCAUUCGUUCGUAGGAAUCAAUGUUUUCCACGUUCUGGAGCGGGUUCUUGCGGCCUUUGCGUUGCAUUCAGAAAGGGAGGCAACAAUAGUUACAAACAAGCCUGACAAAAUUUCGAGUGUUUGCGUCCGUGAGUGUUUCCCGUAGCAACUAGAAAUAGACUUUCUUUGGUCGGAGGUUCAAUAUACAUCCCUCUCAGGAGGUUCCGAGUGCAUUAAAUGCAAAUUGAAGUCAUAAAACAAACGCAGCUGCAGCUAAAUAUAUCAAUGGAAGAUUUGAAGCUGGUAAUUGAUAUUGAAUCGAAGAUUCGAGAAGUCGCACAGAAACAGGAUUACUAAGCCGAGGUGGACCAUCAAAAUACCAAACAUCCGUCGAUUAUGUGGGGCGCAUACGAUAUCGCCCAAGGAUUGCGCUGAUGCUGAACGACCUCGUACGGAUCUGUUCGAUGCUGAUCACCGCAGAUUUCAUCUGUAAAUCCUUCCCAUCCACAGCAGCACCAGAAGCUGUUGGAACAUUCCGUGAUACUGGUGCUUUAUCAAUCGACGACGAUGGCUCGAGCGUAACAGCUCCUACAUCUGAAACGGGACACAAGGUUGCUGAAGGGGAUCAUCCAUUCGAGUACCAUGAAUGCUUUCUCGACCAAGUGCAAUGAAGUUUCGAGCUGUGAAACGCAAACAAGAAAGGAGAAUUGAGGGACCAUGCACUGAACAACGGCAGCAAGCAUUCGUCGGAAGUGUGUAGAAUUUUUUCGUAAUAAUGGUAAGAUUUGUGCAGUUCUCAUUAAAAUUCCUUAUUUGAAGACAGAGCCACUGUACUUACAAUAAAAUUGGUAAGUCGGUUAAAAUUGUCGACAACCAUAUCAUUAAGAGGCAAGA